This 466-nucleotide ribosomal RNA is filed under the name uncultured bacterium. RNAcentral's name for it is "bacterial SSU rRNA". It matches the Rfam family "Bacterial small subunit ribosomal RNA", at positions 28 to 507 of the family's 1533-position model. The record is from RNAcentral.
GACGAACGCUUGCGGCGUGCCUAAGAAAUGCAAGUCGAGCGAGGUUUAGGCUUCGGCCGACGACCUAGCGGCGAACGGUCGCGUAACACGUAAGCAACCUGCCCUAAAGUUGGGGAUAGCCCGCCGAAAGGCGGAUUAAUACCGAAUGUGGAUAUGUAUUCGCAUGUAUAUAUAUCUGAAGCAGCGAUGCGCUUUAGGAUGGGCUUGCGGCCUAUCAGUUAGUUGGUGUGGGUAACGGCCUACCAAGACGACGACGGGUAGCUGGUCUGAGAGGAUGGUCAGCCGGAUUGGGACUGAGACACGGCCCAGACUCCGUACGGGGGCAGCAAUUAGGAAUCUUGCGCAAUGGGCGAAAGCCUGACGCAGCGACGCCGCGUGACUGAUGAAGUCUUUCGAGAUGUAAAGGUCUUUUGGUUGGGGACGAAGGAAGUGACGGUACCGACGAAUAAGCCCCGCUAACUACGUG